ACGUUUUUUUUUACACUUCCCACUUGGCUGUAUGGCAUACAGGUGUGUGCCUACGCGCCGGGAAAAAGUUAUGUUCGUUUGACAUUUCGUUUACGCGAUGACGAUGGCAAUUUAGUCCCGUCGCGAUUAUUUCUUUAAAGUGGUGUAUAAGCCACAUAUAUCAUGAUGAAAGGAUGGUGAAGUCUUCUGUAUAAAAACAAUGGUUUAGUCCAUCGACUA
Molecule: long non-coding RNA, 219 nt
Organism: Pectinophora gossypiella (pink bollworm)
Lineage: Eukaryota; Metazoa; Arthropoda; Insecta; Lepidoptera; Gelechiidae
Exons: 2
Source: RefSeq, a predicted model, not a curated record